CAUUCACGGAGAGUUUGAUCCUGGCUCAGGACGAACGCUGGCGGCGUGCUUAACACAUGCAAGUCGAACGAUGAAGCCUUUCGGGGUGGAUUAGUGGCGAACGGGUGAGUAACACGUGGGCAAUCUGCCCUUCACUCUGGGACAAGCCCUGGAACGGGGUCUAAUACCGGAUAACACUCUGUCCCGCAUGGGACGGGUUG
RNAcentral lists this ribosomal RNA (200 nucleotides) under Streptomyces sp. SID4937. Its description in RNAcentral is "partial 16S ribosomal RNA". It matches the Rfam family "Bacterial small subunit ribosomal RNA", at positions 1 to 202 of the family's 1533-position model. Lineage: Bacteria; Bacillati; Actinomycetota; Actinomycetes; Kitasatosporales; Streptomycetaceae. The record is from RNAcentral.